This is a non-coding RNA of Peromyscus maniculatus bairdii (prairie deer mouse), 1495 nucleotides long. The record is from RefSeq and is a predicted model, not a curated record. NCBI's taxonomy places the organism in Eukaryota, Metazoa, Chordata, Mammalia, Rodentia, Cricetidae.
CAGGAAGUCGCGCUCCUUGGAAGCUGUGGAGUUGGUGAGGGCCUGAAGUUCACCCCCUUGUGAGUUUCUCGAGCUUCUUGUCCUCGACAUGUCUGAAAGUCAGCUCACUCUCCCUCUUCCUCCGGAGCACUGGACCUGUCUCUACUACUUCAAACACAGUACUGAAAAGGAGUGUGGACAGUGGACAACUACUUCCUUCCUGGCUCCACUGAGGUCGCUUCAAGACUUUCUCCACUUAGGAUAGUGCACAGCUUUUAUCACGUUGAGGUAAUUGGAAGCUUUGAAGUUGAUCAAAGUGAAUUCUUUCACCAAGGAACUGAGAAUAGCCAUGCACCCGUGAUCAGGGCUGGCGGUACUUGUAAGGUCUGUGUUCUCAAAGACAAAAGAGUGGGCAGAUGCAGCAGAGACCAAGAGUCUUGGGGCCAGAGGGACAAGGACAAAAGAGACGCAGGAGCAGAAAGAGAGCACUGGAAACGUUCUGGGUCUGCAAAAUUCUGCUGUCCUUGCUAAAACUGGACUCCUUGGGAUGCUUUAACGGCCUCACGCCACCAGGAGAUCUUUCUCGACUUUGCACUGUUAGAAUUCCAGGAGACAGCAUCUACUAAGGUGGUUGGUCCCUCUCAGACUAUGGUUCCCAGCAAUUGCUCAUGCUAGUCCACACUCAGCCUCUAGCAAUUUAUCAAAGUGCUAUUUAAGUGGUUUCUUCUAGCUUAUAGCUUGAGUGACUUCUGCUUCAAACACGAAGAUCUAUGCUAUGCAUCAGGAAAUCUGAAACACCUAGGAAUGAAGUUAAUAAAGAUACAGAAGUCUGCCAGUUUGACAGCUAUAAAACACUGUAGAGAGGAAUCGGGGAACACCUAAAUAAAUGGAGAGCCACACCAUGGUUAUAGAUUGGAAAUUUCAAUAUCACGAAGAUAUCAAUUAUGUCAGUUCCCAUGGCUGCCAUGACAAAUCACCACAAACUUAGAGGUUUCUAAUAACACAAAUUUAUUAUCUUACAGCUCUGUAGGUUGGAAUUCUGAUCAAGGACUCAUGAGAUCAAGACUGUAUUCCUUCUGUGGCUCUAGGGAAGAAUCAGUUUCUUUACCUUGCCCGGCUCCCAUAGACCACCCACUCUCUUUUCCAAGUACCUCUCCACCUUCAAAGCCAGGGACAGCAUGUCAAGUUCCUUUUGUAUUGUAUCAUUCUGACUUCCUCUUUUCUCAUCUUCUUCUUAUACAUUUAAGGGACCUAAAUGUCAACCCUGAGCCCAGCCACAUGAGCUAGGUCAACCUCCAUGUUUUAAAGUCAGCUGAGUAACAAGCUGAAUUUGCCCUUUGCCAUACACCCUACCAAAUUUAUAAGUCCCCAAAUCUAGGGCAUGGAUAAUUUCAGCAGGAGGAAGGAGAAAACUUAGUUCCACUUCCUUAAAUGAUAUACAGUUUCAAUGCAUUUUCAAUAAGAUACCAGCAUGCCUUGUGUAGAAAUUGCCAAGUUGAUACUCAAAUGUAUAAAG